RNAcentral lists this long non-coding RNA (367 nucleotides) under Setaria viridis. RNAcentral's name for it is "long non-coding RNA (SVIR_LNC006852)". Lineage: Eukaryota; Viridiplantae; Streptophyta; Magnoliopsida; Poales; Poaceae. The record is from RNAcentral.
AACCCUCUCUGUGCCACAUGAGUUCGAACCUCUUUUUCACUUCGAUAAGACAUGCAACAGCAUCGAGUACAUGGACAUGGAGCAUUUUCUUCUUUAGAUGUGCCUUCAAAUAUACUCUGAACAUAGUUCUUGAAUCCUAUUUGCCAUUCAGAAGUAAAUCAGGACAUACGCAUCCACCUCCUAUCUUCAUCUGACAUUCUUCACACUAUCAAAGAACAAGAACAACACAAUCUUCCCAAAGAAGUACUCCCUGCAACGACCAUGACAAACAUUAAUUAACAAGAAUAUCCACCCGAAUGAUAUAUGAGCAAUAAUAAAGCAUCACAGCCCAAGCUAAGGAGCAAUUAGUAAAAUAUUCCCAACAACC